GUCACGGACUUAGUCGUUCACUAAGCUCGUGCGGCACUUAGGCAAGUCAAGACGCUUGAUCUUGCUAAGUCAGCCUUGAUCUCCAAUGCUUAGCUUGCUCGGCUAAGACACUCGCGACUCAAAGGCUUAAGAAGCUUGGUAGGCGAUUCCUUAAAGAAUGAAAGCUCUUUAUUACUCAAAGAAGCUUUUACAAGUGCUUGGAAGCUCACUUGCUUGGUUAGGAAGUGAUUUGGGUGGUCUUUGGCCAAAUGGGGCCCUCACCUAUUUAUAAGCACCAAGGGAACUCUCUAGAACCUUGGAGGGUCCCUUACAAAUCAAGAAUAUUCUAGAACAUCCUACCCUAUUCUA
Molecule: long non-coding RNA, 348 nt
Filed under: Vitis vinifera (wine grape)
Lineage: Eukaryota; Viridiplantae; Streptophyta; Magnoliopsida; Vitales; Vitaceae
Description: long non-coding RNA (VVIN_LNC004697)
Source: RNAcentral